RNAcentral lists this microRNA precursor (86 nucleotides) under Schmidtea mediterranea. Its description in RNAcentral is "mir-2147 microRNA precursor family". It matches the Rfam family "mir-2147 microRNA precursor family". The record is from Rfam by way of RNAcentral. Lineage: Eukaryota; Metazoa; Platyhelminthes; Tricladida; Dugesiidae.
UUUUGGAUGUUAACAUCGGAAAACUCGCACCGUGAUAUUGUCAACUUCACAAUUUCACUGCGACUGUUCCCAUGUUACUUCCAGUU